RNAcentral lists this transfer RNA (58 nucleotides) under Pilea sinocrassifolia. RNAcentral describes it as "tRNA-Lys". The record is from RNAcentral. Lineage: Eukaryota; Viridiplantae; Streptophyta; Magnoliopsida; Rosales; Urticaceae.
GGGUUGCUAACUCAACGGUAGAGUACUCGUAUUUAACAAGUAAAUAGUCUAUUCCAUC